CCUACGGGUGGCAGCAGUGGGGAAUAUUGGGCAAUGGGCGCAAGCCUGACCCAGCAAAGCCGCGUGAAGGAAGACGGCUUUCGGGUUGUAAACUUCUUUUGUCAGGGAAGCGUAGAAGACGGUACCUGACGAAUCAGCCACGGCCAACUACGUGCCAGCAGCCGCGGGAAUACGUAGGUGGCAAGCGUUGUCCGGAUUUACUGUGUGUUAAGGGCGUGUAGCCGGGUUGACAAGUCAUAUGUGAAAUCCUGCGGCUUAACCGCAGAACGGCAUUUGGAACUGUUGAUCUUGAGUACUGGGGAGGCAGACGGAAUUCCGAGGGGAGCGGUGAAAUGCGUAGAUAUUA
RNAcentral lists this ribosomal RNA (346 nucleotides) under uncultured bacterium. RNAcentral's name for it is "partial 16S ribosomal RNA". It matches the Rfam family "Bacterial small subunit ribosomal RNA", at positions 338 to 699 of the family's 1533-position model. The record is from RNAcentral.